ACAGCAGCCGCCGCGGUAACACGAAGGGUGCAAGCGUUAAUCGGAAUUACUGGGCGUAAAGCGUGCGUAGGCGGUGAGUUAAGUCUGCUGUGAAAUCCCCGGGCUCAACCUGGGAAUGGCAGUGGAUACUGGGUCACUAGAGUGUGGUAGAGGAUAGUGGAAUUUCCGGUGUAGCAGUGAAAUGCGUAGAGAUCGGAAGGAACAUCUGUGGCGAAGGCGACUAUCUGGGCCAACACUGACACUGAGGCACGAAAGCGUGGGGAGCAAACAGGAUUAGAUACCCCAGUAGUCCCUGUCUCUUAUAC
Molecule: ribosomal RNA, 305 nt
Filed under: uncultured bacterium
Lineage: Bacteria
Description: partial 16S ribosomal RNA
Rfam family: Bacterial small subunit ribosomal RNA
Source: RNAcentral